AGGAGUUUAGGAUAAUUAGACCAAGAGCCUUCAAAGCCCUAAGCGGAGGUGAAAACCCCCCAACCCCUG
This 69-nucleotide transfer RNA is filed under the name Electrophorus electricus (electric eel). RNAcentral's name for it is "tRNA-Trp". It matches the Rfam family "tRNA". From Rfam's summary of the family: Transfer RNA (tRNA) molecules are approximately 80 nucleotides in length. Their secondary structure includes four short double-helical elements and three loops (D, anti-codon, and T loops). Further hydrogen bonds mediate the characteristic L-shaped molecular structure. tRNAs have two regions of fundamental functional importance: the anti-codon, which is responsible for specific mRNA codon recognition, and the 3' end, to which the tRNAs corresponding amino acid is attached (by aminoacyl-tRNA synthetases). tRNAs cope with the degeneracy of the genetic code in two manners: having more than one tRNA (with a specific anti-codon) for a particular amino acid; and 'wobble' base-pairing, i.e. permitting non-standard base-pairing at the 3rd anti-codon position. The record is from RNAcentral. Lineage: Eukaryota; Metazoa; Chordata; Actinopteri; Gymnotiformes; Gymnotidae. RNAcentral also lists the same sequence under 1 other name.